GGUUCGAUCAUGGCUCAGAUUGAACGCUGGCGGGAUGCUUUACACAUGCAAGUCGAACGGCAGCACGGACUUCGGUCUGGUGGCGAGUGGCGAACGGGUGAGUAAUGUAUCGGAACGUGCCUAGUAGCGGGGGAUAACUACGCGAAAGGUAGCUAAUACCGCAUACGCCCUUCGGGGAAAGCGGGGACCUUCGCCUCUCGCACUAUUAGAGCGGCCGAUAUCGGAUUAGCUAGUUGGUGGGGUAACGGCUCACCAAGGCGACGAUCCGUAGCUGGUUUGAGAGGACGACCAGCCACACUGGGACUGAGACACGGCCCAGACUCCUACGGAGGCAGUGGGGAAUUUUUGACAAUGGGGGGAAACCCUUGAUCCAGCCAUCCUUGCGUGUGCGAUGAAGGCCUUCGGGUUGUAAAGCACUUUUGGCAGGAAAGAAACGGCACGGAUAAUGCUACUCGUGCAACUGACGGUACCUGCAGAAUAAGCACCGGCUAACUACGCCAGCAGCCGCGGUAAUACGUAGGGUGCAAGCGUUAAUCGGAAUUACUGGGCGUAAAGCGUGCGCAGGCGGUUCGGAAAGAAAGAUGUGAAAUCCCAGAGCUUAACUUUGGAACUGCAUUUUUAACUACCGAGCUAGAGUGUGCCGAGGAUAUGAAUUCUGCAAGGUGAAAUGCGUAGAUACAGAAGAGGAAGUCGUCCGAUGAGCAAAUGUUCCGGAUAAUCAUAUGGUAUGUGGUAUGUAGUAGGUAAUGAUUACCUGGUAGUCCAUCAGCCUGAAACGAUGUCUGUAAUUACGUUGGGCGCCUUCACCUGUAGGCAGCAACUGCAGGUUGACGCCUGGGAAGUCGGUCGCAAAGAUUAAACGUGUUGAAUUUGCCGGAACUCGCACGCUGGUGAUGAUGUAUUUUAAUUCGAUGCGAUGCGCGAAAACCUUACCUACCCUUGACAUGUCUGGAAUCCCGAAGAGAUUUGGGAGUGUCGUGCAGGUCCGGAACACAGGUGCUGCAUGGCUGUCGUCAGCUCGUGUCGAGAUGCUGGGUUAAGUCCCGCAACGAGCGCAACCCUUGUCAUUAGUUGCUACGAAAGGGCACUCUAAUGAGACUGCCGGUGACAAACCGGAGGAAGGUGGGGAUGACGUCAAGUCCUCAUGGCCCUUAUGGGUAGGGCUUCAAGAAUGUCAUACAAUGGUCGGGACAGAGGGUCGCCAACCCGCGAGGGGAGCCAAUCCCAGAAACCCGAUCGUAGUCCGGAUCGCAGUCUGCAACUCGACUGCGUGAAGUCGGAAUCGCUAGUAAUCGCGGAUCAGCAUGUCGCGGUGAAUACGUUCCCGGGUCUUGUACACACCGCCCGUCACACCAUGGAGUGGGUUUUACCAGAAGUAGUUAGCCUAACCGUAAGGAGGGCGAUUACCACGGUAGGAUUCAUGACUGGGGUGAAGUCGUAACAAGGUAA
RNAcentral lists this ribosomal RNA (1449 nucleotides) under uncultured Bordetella sp. Its description in RNAcentral is "partial 16S-23S ribosomal RNA intergenic spacer". It matches the Rfam family "Bacterial small subunit ribosomal RNA". The record is from RNAcentral. Lineage: Bacteria; Pseudomonadati; Pseudomonadota; Betaproteobacteria; Burkholderiales; Alcaligenaceae.